RNAcentral lists this ribosomal RNA (253 nucleotides) under uncultured bacterium. Its description in RNAcentral is "partial 16S ribosomal RNA". It matches the Rfam family "Bacterial small subunit ribosomal RNA", at positions 524 to 776 of the family's 1533-position model. The record is from RNAcentral.
UACGAAGGGGGCUAGCGUUGUUCGGAAUUACUGGGCGUAAAGGGCGCGUAGGCGGAUAGUUUAGUCAGAGGUGAAAGCCCAGGGCUCAACCCUGGAAUUGCCUUUGAUACUGGCUAUCUUGAGUUCGGGAGAGGUGAGUGGAACUCCGAGUGUAGAGGUGAAAUUCGUAGAUAUUCGGAAGAACACCAGUGGCGAAGGCGACUCACUGGCCCGAUACUGACGCUGAGGCGCGAAAGCGUGGGGAGCAAACAGG